UUCUAUCUCACAAGCAUUAUUUUUAUUUCAACACCAUCGUGCUGAAAAACUAAGCUGUAACCGCCGAGAACCAACAAAAUAAACUUUUUGAAGUGUCUCCACAGCAAUGACUAAAAUAUCGAUAAUAUCGGCGAAAUAUCGCCGAUAUUAUCGGCGAAAUAUCGCCGAUAUUAUCGUUUAUCAGAGAAAUCUAUAUUUUCCCACGUAUCCUCUAAUUGUCGUCAAAAUAUCGUGAUAUUAUCGAUAAUAUCGCGAUAUAUUCGAUAUUAUCGAAACAAUCUCGUGGCUCCGUCGUCGGAAAGGCAGCCAAGGCUGCGUCGUUUGGAUCGCCUCCCAAACUUGCUCUGUCGCUCAUCCUCCAGAUCUUUGACAUCGCCGGAGCUUACCGGAUUCUGCAGAGAAGAUGUAGAAAUUGUCCAGGAUUAGAAUCAAUUCUAUUCCUUCACCAAACUAAAUCAAAACCCUCCACAAUUGAUGGAAAUAUUCAGAGGUUAAGAAUAGAAAUAGAAAUAAAUCUGAAACGAAAGCACAUGCAUGUGUUAGAUCUCGCUCUAUUUCAAUCCAACACAUAAAUCUGGAACGAAAGAACAAAAAAAAUUAACACACAUGGAGGAGGGAUUUACCUUCAUGCAUCUCAGUUUUCAUGAUUAUAGAGACACGGAGGUGUGUAUGUUGCUGGGCUUCAGGUUGCAAACAAUAAUGAAGAGCUAUGAGAGAGAGUGGCUGCUGUGAGAGAGAAGGCUGUAAGAAUGGGCGUUGGGCUUGAGGUUGGAGAAAUGAGAGCAUCUCUCAUAUUCUAGAGAGAGUGUGAGAGAGUGAGAUAGUGGUUGAGAAUCUGAAAAGCAUCUUCUUUUUCUUUCUACACGGGUUGGUUUGAAAAUGAGAGUGGCUCGUGGCUCAAGGCAAUUGAAAGGGGAUCCAAUGUUUCAACACAUGCUAGAACAAAAACAUUAAUGUUCUUUUCUUUUGUUGAACAAAAUUAAAAUUUUUGGUUCUCUUAAAUCUUUUGUUGAACAAAAUUAAAAUUUUUUUGGAUUGUGUUUAGUUUGCGGAUCUAUUUUCUGUAAAAAAAAAUGGUGAUAAUUAAUCUCGGAUCCAUAUGGGUGGCAUGUUAACAAUUACAUGCAAAACUAUUUUGGGGAUUUAUCAUUUUAUGACUACUCUUCACAAUACACUUACUCUACACAUAGAGAUGAUGAAGAUAGUCAAAAUUUUGAACCUAAUAGGAACUCUAUGUGGUACUAAGUCACUUAUGUAUCUUACCAUGCAAUGUAUAAAGUGUAAAAUAAUGUACUAAUUCAUU
This 1303-nucleotide long non-coding RNA is filed under the name Malus domestica (apple). RNAcentral describes it as "long non-coding RNA (MDOM_LNC014335)". The record is from RNAcentral. Lineage: Eukaryota; Viridiplantae; Streptophyta; Magnoliopsida; Rosales; Rosaceae.